Molecule: ribosomal RNA, 253 nt
Filed under: uncultured bacterium
Lineage: Bacteria
Description: partial 16S ribosomal RNA
Rfam family: Bacterial small subunit ribosomal RNA
Source: RNAcentral
UACGUAGGGUGCGAGCGUUGUCCGGAAUUAUUGGGCGUAAAGAGCUCGUAGGCGGUCUGUCGCGUCUGCUGUGAAAAUCCAGGGCUCAACCCUGGACCUGCAGUGGGUACGGGCAGACUAGAGUGCGGUAGGGGAGAUCGGAAUUCCUGGUGUAGCGGUGAAAUGCGCAGAUAUCAGGAGGAACACCGGUGGCGAAGGCGGAUCUCUGGGCCGACACUGACACUGAGAGACGAAAGCUAGGGGAGCAAAUGGG